CUACGGGAGGCAGCAGUGGGGAAUAUUGGACAAUGGGGGAAACCCUGAUCCAGCAAUGCCACGUGUGUGAAGAAGGCCUGCGGGUUGUAAAGCACUUUCGGUUGGGAGGACUGCUUCUAGCACUAAUAUAGUUGGAAGUUGACGUUACCUUCAGAAGAAGCACCGGCUAACUCCGUGCCAGCAGCCGCGGUAAUACGGGAGGGUGCAGCGUUAAUCGGAAUUACUGGGCGUAAAGCGCGCGUAGGCGGCUAGAUCAGUCGGGUGUGAAAGCCCCGGGCUUAACCGGGGAACUGCAUCCGAUACUGUCUAGCUUGAGUACAGGAGAGGAGAGUGGAAUUCCACAUGUAGCGGUGAAAUGCGUAGAUAUGUGGAGGAACACCAAUGGCGAAGGCAGCUCUCUGGCCUGAUACUGACGCUGAGGUGCGAAAGCGUGGGGAGCAAACAGGAUUAGAUACCCGAGUAGUC
Molecule: ribosomal RNA, 465 nt
Filed under: uncultured bacterium
Lineage: Bacteria
Description: partial 16S ribosomal RNA
Rfam family: Bacterial small subunit ribosomal RNA
Source: RNAcentral